GUACGGGAGGCAGCAGUGAGGAAUUUUGCGCAAUGGGGGAAACCCUGACGCAGCAACGCCGCGUGGAGGAUGAAGUCCCUUGGGACGUAAACUCCUUUCGAUCGGGACGAUUAUGACGGUACCGGAAGAAGAAGCCCCGGCUAACUUCGUGCCAGCAGCCGCGGUAAUACGAGGGGGGCAAGCGUUGUUCGGAAUUAUUGGGCGUAAAGGGCGCGUAGGCGGUGCGGUAUGUCUCCUGUGAAAUCUCUAGGCUUAACUUAGAGUCUGCAGGAGAAACUGCCGUGCUUGAGUGCUGGAGAGGUGAGUGGAAUUGCCGGUGUAGCGGUGAAAUGCGUAGAUAUCGGGAGGAACACCUGUGGCGAAAGCGGCUCACUGGACAGCAACUGACGCUGAUGCGCGAAAGCUAGGGGAGCAAACAGGAUUAGAUACCCGGGUAU
RNAcentral lists this ribosomal RNA (437 nucleotides) under uncultured bacterium. RNAcentral describes it as "bacterial SSU rRNA". It matches the Rfam family "Bacterial small subunit ribosomal RNA", at positions 339 to 793 of the family's 1533-position model. The record is from RNAcentral.